GGGAGAGUGGCCGAGUGAUCACAAGCAACAGACUGUAAAUCUAUUGAAGUUUUUCUACAUAGGUUCGAAUCCUGCCUCUCUUU
Molecule: transfer RNA, 83 nt
Filed under: Rhododendron molle
Lineage: Eukaryota; Viridiplantae; Streptophyta; Magnoliopsida; Ericales; Ericaceae
Description: tRNA-Tyr
Rfam family: tRNA
About the family: Transfer RNA (tRNA) molecules are approximately 80 nucleotides in length.
Source: RNAcentral